AUUGAACGCUGGCGGAAUGCUUUACGCAUGCAAGUCGAACGGCAGCACGGGGGCAACCCUGGUGGCGAGUGGCGAACGGGUGAGUAAUACAUCGGAACGUGCCCGGUCGUGGGGGAUAACGUAGCGAAAGUUACGCUAAUACCGCAUACGAUCUGAGGAUGAAAGCGGGGGACCUUCGGGCCUCGCGCGAUCGGAGCGGCCGAUGUCAGAUUAGGUAGUUGGUGGGGUAAAGGCCUACCAAGCCGACGAUCUGUAGCUGGCCUGAGAGGACGACCAGCCACACUGGGACUGAGACACGGCCCAGACUCCUACGGGAGGCAGCAGUGGGGAAUUUUGGACAAUGGGCGCAAGCCUGAUCCAGCCAUUCCGCGUGCAGGACGAAGGCCUUCGGGUUGUAAACUGCUUUUGUAUGGAACGAAAAGGCUCUGGCUAAUACCUGGGGCUCAUGACGGUACCGUAAGAAUAAGCACCGGCUAACUACGUG
This 484-nucleotide ribosomal RNA is filed under the name uncultured bacterium. Its description in RNAcentral is "partial 16S ribosomal RNA". It matches the Rfam family "Bacterial small subunit ribosomal RNA", at positions 30 to 507 of the family's 1533-position model. The record is from RNAcentral.